CACACUAAUCAAGAGGCCACAGAAGU
This 26-nucleotide non-coding RNA is filed under the name Mus musculus (house mouse). The record is from RNAcentral. Lineage: Eukaryota; Metazoa; Chordata; Mammalia; Rodentia; Muridae.